UCCAGGAUGAUCUGGUGGAUGGUGGGUACCGCGGUAUACCACGUGGCGUUGUACGAGAGCAUGUCAGCCCAAAAUGUGGAGGCGGAGAAUCGGCCCGCCGCUGGAAGAGUCACGGCGGCUCCGGCGACGAGUGAACUCAGUAACCCGGCGAUUAACCCGUGCACGUGGAACAGAGGGAGGACGAUGACGGUCGAGUCAGACUCUGUGAGUUUGUAGACCGAUUUGAUGUUCUGGACCGACGAGGCCAAAUUGAGCUGGGUCAAGGGGACUCCCUUGGGUCGGCUCGUGGUGCCAGACGUGUGGAGGAAGAGUGCCACGUCGGAAGCGUCGUUGACGAGUUGCAAGACCGAGUCGGGGCUCGACUCGGCGGUGGAAGAGAGAGUCACGUGGCUGGUGGCGCCGGCCAGCUUGGCGGUCACGUGAGGGAUGUUGAGCUUGGUGGCCGCCGCUUUAGCCGCUAGAAUCGGAUUCUCCGGCGUGAUCAGAAGCUUCGAUUCUGAGUCGGAGAGGUAGAACUCGAACUCCUCAGCCGUGUAAGCCGCGUUCAGCGGCACCGCCGUUGCUCGGCACCGAAUCACCGCCAAAAACAGCACGACAAGCUACAGAAACAAACACAAUCUUAUUUAAUUUUUUUUAUAUGAAAAACUUGUUUGGUUCCGGAGAAAGUUGAGGAAAGUGAAUGGAAAAGAAAAUGUUGCAAUACAAUACCUCAACGGUGUUGGGGAAGGUGAGCGCGACGGUGUCGUUUGGGCCAAUUCCGGAGGCGAUUAAGAGAGAGGCGGCGUGAUCGACGAGCUCCUGCAGUCGCGCGUGGGUCAAAUCGAAUUUUCCAGAAACGGAAAGCGCGCGGUGGUUCGGAAAUUCCGAGGCCACCUUCUUCAACAAACCUGUUAGAGUUUGAUUUUCCAUUUU
This 912-nucleotide long non-coding RNA is filed under the name Prunus persica (peach). RNAcentral's name for it is "long non-coding RNA (PPER_LNC005434)". The record is from RNAcentral. Lineage: Eukaryota; Viridiplantae; Streptophyta; Magnoliopsida; Rosales; Rosaceae.